UACAGAGGGUGCUAGCGUUGUUCGGAAUCAUUGGGCGUAAAGGGCGUGUAGGCGGUUUGUUAAGUCAUGUGUGAAAUCCCUCGGCUCAACCGGGGAACGACGCAUGAAACUGGCAAGCUAGAGUACCAAAGAGGGGGGUGGAAUUCCCGGUGUAGCGGUGAAAUGCGUAGAUAUCUGGAGGAAUACCGGUGGCGAAGGCGGCAUCCUGGACCGGCAUUGACGCUGAAAAGCGAAAGCCAGGGGAGCAAACGGG
Molecule: ribosomal RNA, 253 nt
Filed under: uncultured bacterium
Lineage: Bacteria
Description: partial 16S ribosomal RNA
Rfam family: Bacterial small subunit ribosomal RNA
Source: RNAcentral